GGGGACCUUCGGGGCCCUAUACGAACAGCCGGGCGGUCCACCGCCCGCAAAGCAACGGAAGACAGAGA
Wenxinia saemankumensis is the source of this 68-nucleotide regulatory RNA element. It matches the Rfam family "L2-Alphaproteobacteria ribosomal protein leader". Lineage: Bacteria; Pseudomonadati; Pseudomonadota; Alphaproteobacteria; Rhodobacterales; Roseobacteraceae. The record is from Rfam.